GUGGGGCAAUCGACCAGAGCAGAGAAGAGGGGGUGUAAAACCCUAGACUCAACAAAACCUUCAAAUUGAAAGGGAAAUCGAAGACCGAAUUCGGGUUUGAAUAUAAUUAGCGAUCACCAAGUCAUGGAGAUCACAAGGUGGAGGCUUGGGAAAGAAGCGGGUCAAACGGAUCGAGUACGCGAAAAAGAGCAUAACCGGAUGCAAGGUAAGUGAAACUUACACCUUUUUGUAGAAUACGUGUUUAUUCUAUAAGUUGCAAAUACGAUAAGGAUAAAAUUCAAGAUAUGGUUUCAGACACGAAAUAAUAUGGAUCGGAACUAAUAUAAAUGAUAAAAACCAUGUUGAAUGGUAAAUAGAGGUAAAACAGUGAAUUAGCCAUGAAAAGGCUAAGGUAAAAAUGAGUUUUCGAACGGCUAAUUUGUGAGUAAGCCUAAACGAAUAAAAAGUGUAGAACGGUGAUUUAGUCAAGUAUAAAUGAAUCAAAGUCCAUGUUUUAACGACACCAAAUGGCAUAAGCCAUGUUGGAUAAACGCGUAAGAAACGGAUUUAAGAAACCUAAACAAAUUAGCGAAAAAUUCGAAAUGAGUUACUUAAUGAUAUGGUAAAAAAAAUUACCAUUCGAUUAUAAGCACAAAAUAUUUGGUCGUUUAGACCAAAUGGGUCAAAUGGUAACGUUGAUACCAUUUGACAAUUAACGACUAAUAAGCGUUUGUUGAGAUAUACGCUCACAGGAUAAGACGGCUUAUGGAUUAGUGAUGCAAUGGAUUAGCAACCUUGAGACAAUGUAUUAAAACGGGUCAAUAUGUUGACCCGAGCCAGGUAUGCAUAUGUGGACUUAUAGUUAAAAGUGCAAAGAGGGUCAAAUAUUUAGUCGAAGUCCUUCAUCGCAAAAAUGAAGGAUUAAAUAUGACCAAAAAGGCCCUUGAUAGGUAAACCGGGUAAACGACCCUUAGAGUUUGUUUAGAAACUUAUAUUAUGACUUUGUAACCCUUAGAUGUGUAUAAAAGUUCUAAGCAAAAACAUGUGUGGGUCGAAUGCCUAGAAAUAGUCAAUUGCGAAAAAGGACUAGCCGAAGGGUAAAAUUGGGAUUUUGGUUUCCUUAUGUUAAAUCCACCACAAAAAUAAUUGUGGUGGAAGAUAAGUAGUUAUUUAGCAAGAAAAGACGAGGUGCAAAAAGAAAAUAGCGAGUUUGAUGCUUAGAUGCUUAAAAGUCCCCAUAUACGGGUCAAAAUAGACUAAGAAGUAAAUUGUGGUUAAAUGCUUAGAUAGAUACAAAUGAAUCGGUGAAUGUAAACGCCUACGUAAACUCUAUGAUGGGAGCGAGAACGUUAAGGUUUGACAAGCCCGGGAUGGGUAAAAAUGAUAGGAAUUAACUAUUUUUCUAGAGCAUGUAGUGAGAUGAUAAUGCCAAACGGGUCGAAUAAUCACCUAAAGGAUUUAUGAGCCAAUAGUGGAUAAAUCAGAUUUUUUAUGCAAACCAAGGUGAUAAACGGGUCCGUAAUUUAAUUAUGGACGCAUAGGAAAAAGAAUCGUGUAAAACGGAUUUGUGAAUUGAAAGUUAUGCACGUUUUUGUGUAACUUAAACUUGCGAGAAGUUGCUGCAGUUCAGCAACAAACAUUCUGGACAAAACAUGGGGUCGCGCCACGCGACAACAAAAGCAAGGAGCCGUCGCGCGACGCGAUGGGUUCCAAAAUUUGAAAAAUGUUUAUUUUAAUAUUAUAUGCAUUGCGAACCCGUUUAAAUACGUUUUAAGCUAUGUAUGACUAAUCCAACUCAUGCUUUAUGAGCUGUACGAUCAAGCUCAAUGAAGAACCGAACAUGAUCAAGAAACAAGCUUCCGCACGUCGCUACUGAGUUUUUUUUUACGACAACUCAAUUAGACUAUGUUGUAUAACUUUUAAAUUGUGAAAGUUUUAAUAAACUCGUAUU
Molecule: long non-coding RNA, 1930 nt
Filed under: Helianthus annuus (common sunflower)
Lineage: Eukaryota; Viridiplantae; Streptophyta; Magnoliopsida; Asterales; Asteraceae
Description: hypothetical non coding rna
Source: RNAcentral